GGGAAUGUGGCUUAGUGUUAGAGCAUUUGCCUCAUAUGCAUGAAGCCCUGGGUUCAAUUCCCCAGUACCA
RNAcentral lists this transfer RNA (70 nucleotides) under Dipodomys ordii (Ord's kangaroo rat). It matches the Rfam family "tRNA". From Rfam's summary of the family: Transfer RNA (tRNA) molecules are approximately 80 nucleotides in length. Lineage: Eukaryota; Metazoa; Chordata; Mammalia; Rodentia; Heteromyidae. The record is from Rfam by way of RNAcentral.